GACGGAGGGUCCAAGCGUUGUUCGGAUUGACUGGGCGUAAAGGGAGCGCAGGCGGUUGAGUAAGUCUAAAGUGGAAGCCUGGAGCUUAACUCCAGAAGUGCUUUAGGUACUGCUCGGCUUGAGUAUGCCAGAGGAAAGCGGAAUUCAGGGUGUAGCGGUGAAAUGCUUAGAUAUCCUGAGGAACACCGGUGGCGAAAGCGGCUUUCUGGGCAUUACUGACGCUCAGGCUCGAAAGCGUGGGGAGAAAACAGG
Molecule: ribosomal RNA, 252 nt
Filed under: uncultured bacterium
Lineage: Bacteria
Description: partial 16S ribosomal RNA
Rfam family: Bacterial small subunit ribosomal RNA
Source: RNAcentral